CAACUUAAGGCUUGUUUAGUGGAGCGUUUCAUUUACACUGAGAAGGAUGUUGUGCAAUUCAAUGUGAGUUGA
RNAcentral lists this transfer RNA (72 nucleotides) under Satanas sp. KW-2016. Its description in RNAcentral is "tRNA-Val". It matches the Rfam family "tRNA". From Rfam's summary of the family: Transfer RNA (tRNA) molecules are approximately 80 nucleotides in length. The record is from RNAcentral. Lineage: Eukaryota; Metazoa; Arthropoda; Insecta; Diptera; Asilidae.